RNAcentral lists this unclassified non-coding RNA (405 nucleotides) under Hevea brasiliensis (rubber tree). Lineage: Eukaryota; Viridiplantae; Streptophyta; Magnoliopsida; Malpighiales; Euphorbiaceae. The record is from RNAcentral.
AAAAAAUGGGAGGCAAAAGGCACUCCAUGGAUAGUGGAGAUAACUCCAUUGAACCAGAAACCUGGGAGACAAAUGCUUCAAAAACAAGAAUACCUGAUGAUGCGGAAUCAGAGCAAGAAGCUUCAGAAGAUCUGAGAAAAGCCAGUCGCUCAGGUAAAAGGAAAUCGGGUGUGGUUGUCAUCCGCAACAUCAACUACAUUGCAUCGAAGAGGCACAAUUCAUCAGGUAGCGAAACAGAUUCACCAUCUGAAAGUGAAAGUGGGGAAGAUGGAGAUUCGCAGGCUAUUAGUCCAGAAAUUAAACACAAGAAAUCUACUAGAUCAAGGAGCAAAGGAAAACAUCUAAAUUUUGAAGAUCAAUCAAAUACUCCGGCAAAAACUGUUUCACCAGAAGCUGAUGGACAUU